AACGAACGCUGGCGGCAGGCCUAACACAUGCAAGUCGAGCGCGCCUUCGGGUGAGCGGCGGACGGGUGAGUAACGCGUGGGAAUAUGCCCUUCUCUACGGAAUAGUCCUGGGAAACUGGGGGUAAUACCGUAUACGCCCUUUGGGGGAAAGAUUUAUCGGGGAAGGAUUAGCCCGCGUUGGAUUAGGUAGUUGGUGGGGUAAUGGCCUACCAAGCCGACGAUCCAUAGCUGGUUUGAGAGGAUGAUCAGCCACACUGGGACUGAGACACGGCCCAGACUCCUACGGGAGGCAGCAGUGGGGAAUCUUAGACAAUGGGGGCAACCCUGAUCUACCCAUGCCGCGUGAGUGAUGAAGGCCUUAGGGUUGUAAAGCUCUUUCAGCUGGGAAGAUAAUGACGGUACCAGCAGAAGAAGCCCCGGCUAACUCCGUG
This 431-nucleotide ribosomal RNA is filed under the name uncultured bacterium. Its description in RNAcentral is "partial 16S ribosomal RNA". It matches the Rfam family "Bacterial small subunit ribosomal RNA", at positions 29 to 507 of the family's 1533-position model. The record is from RNAcentral.